GAGUUUGAUCCUGGCUCAGAUUGAACGCUGGCGGCAUGCUUUACACAUGCAAGUCGGACGGCAGCACAGAGAAGCUUGCUUCUUGGGUGGCGAGUGGCGAACGGGUGAGUAACGCAUCGGAACGUACCGAGUAGUGGGGGAUAACUGUCCGAAAGGAUGGCUAAUACCGCAUACGCUUUGAGAAGGAAAGCGGGGGAUCUUCGGACCUCGCGCUAUUCGAGCGGCCGAUGUCUGAUUAGCUAGUUGGUGGGGUAAAGGCCUACCAAGGCGACGAUCAGUAGCGGGUCUGAGAGGAUGAUCCGCCACACUGGGACUGAGACACGGCCCAGACUCCUACGGGAGGCAGCAGUGGGGAAUUUUGGACAAUGGGCGCAAGCCUGAUCCAGCCAUGCCGCGUGUCUGAAGAAGGCCUUCGGGUUGUAAAGGACUUUUGUCAGGGAAGAAAAGCUUUGGGUUAAUACCCUGGAGUGAUGACGGUACCUGAAGAAUAAGCACCGGCUAACUACGUGCCAGCAGCCGCGGUAAUACGUAGGGUGCGAGCGUUAAUCGGAAUUACUGGGCGUAAAGCGAGCGCAGACGGUUUGUUAAGCAGGAUGUGAAAUCCCCGGGCUCAACCUGGGAACUGCGUUCUGAACUGGCAGGCUAGAGUAUGUCAGAGGGGGGUAGAAUUCCACGUGUAGCAGUGAAAUGCGUAGAGAUGUGGAGGAAUACCGAUGGCGAAGGCAGCCCCCUGGGAUAAUACUGACGUUCAUGCUCGAAAGCGUGGGUAGCAAACAGGAUUAGAUACCCUGGUAGUCCACGCCCUAAACGAUGUCAAUUAGCUGUUGGGGCACUUGAUGCCUUAGUAGCGUAGCUAACGCGUGAAAUUGACCGCCUGGGGAGUACGGUCGCAAGAUUAAAACUCAAAGGAAUUGACGGGGACCCGCACAAGCGGUGGAUGAUGUGGAUUAAUUCGAUGCAACGCGAAGAACCUUACCUGGUCUUGACAUGUACGGAAUCCUCCAGAGACGGAGGAGUGCCUUCGGGAGCCGUAACACAGGUGCUGCAUGGCUGUCGUCAGCUCGUGUCGUGAGAUGUUGGGUUAAGUCCCGCAACGAGCGCAACCCUUGUCAUUAGUUGCCAUCAUUUAGUUGGGCACUCUAAUGAGACUGCCGGUGACAAACCGGAGGAAGGUGGGGAUGACGUCAAGUCCUCAUGGCCCUUAUGACCAGGGCUUCACACGUCAUACAAUGGUCGGUACAGAGGGUAGCCAAGCCGCGAGGUGGAGCCAAUCCCAAAAAACCGAUCGUAGUCCGGAUUGCACUCUGCAACUCGAGUGCAUGAAGUCGGAAUCGCUAGUAAUCGCAGGUCAGCAUACUGCGGUGAAUACGUUCCCGGGUCUUGUACACACCGCCCGUCACACCAUGGGAGUGGGGGAUACCAGAAGUAGGUAGGGUAACCGCAAGGAGCCCGCUUACCACGGUAUGCUUCAUGACUGGGGUGAAGUCGUAACAAGGUAGCCGUAGGGGAACCUGCGGCUGGAUCACCUCCUU
Molecule: ribosomal RNA, 1532 nt
Filed under: Neisseria shayeganii
Lineage: Bacteria; Pseudomonadati; Pseudomonadota; Betaproteobacteria; Neisseriales; Neisseriaceae
Description: bacterial SSU rRNA
Rfam family: Bacterial small subunit ribosomal RNA
Source: RNAcentral